GAAGUUCAAGCCCAAAGGCCCUA
RNAcentral lists this non-coding RNA (23 nucleotides) under Arabidopsis thaliana (thale cress). Lineage: Eukaryota; Viridiplantae; Streptophyta; Magnoliopsida; Brassicales; Brassicaceae. The record is from RNAcentral.